GCGAACUCUUAGUUGCAGCAUGUAAGAUCUGGUUCCCUGACCAGGGAUUGAAGCUGGGUCCCCUGCAUUGGGAGCUCAGAGUCUCAGCCACUGGAUCACCAAGGACCUUCCAGGAGGAGCAAUUUUAAAGAGGAGAAAGUGGUCGUCUCAGUUUGGGAUAGUAAAAAAGGUUGUGCUGGGUCUUCGUUGGUGCAAGCAGGUUUUCUCUAGUCGUGGUCAGCAGGGGCUACCCUGUAGUUGUGAUGCGUGGGCUUCUCACUGCAGCGGCUUCUCUUGUUGCAGAGCACAGGUUCUAGGCCCGUGGGCUCAGUAGUUGAGGUCUGAUGUUCCAUGUGCAGUAGGAGGACAUGAGUUGGUGCACGGGGACUCAGUGCCAUGAACUAAAAAGCCACUGAACAGUUCCCUAGUGACUGGAGUUAAUCAGAUUUCACCAAAUGCCUAACCACGUUGUGGAAGAGAGUCUACAUGUGGGAGACACUGCUCGCUGCAUCUCCAUUUAAUCUCUUUCUCCUUUGAAGCAACGUAUUUCCCACAGGCAUUUUUAAAUGACCCUGGAACGGCCACUCCUGGACUGUAGGAGUAAAUGACAAGACAAUAUACAGGU
Bos taurus (domestic cattle) is the source of this 604-nucleotide long non-coding RNA. Lineage: Eukaryota; Metazoa; Chordata; Mammalia; Artiodactyla; Bovidae. The record is from Ensembl.